Molecule: transfer RNA, 74 nt
Filed under: Candidatus Tremblayella princeps
Lineage: Bacteria; Pseudomonadati; Pseudomonadota; Betaproteobacteria
Description: Candidatus Tremblaya princeps tRNA-Pro(TGG)
Rfam family: tRNA
About the family: Transfer RNA (tRNA) molecules are approximately 80 nucleotides in length. Their secondary structure includes four short double-helical elements and three loops (D, anti-codon, and T loops). Further hydrogen bonds mediate the characteristic L-shaped molecular structure. tRNAs have two regions of fundamental functional importance: the anti-codon, which is responsible for specific mRNA codon recognition, and the 3' end, to which the tRNAs corresponding amino acid is attached (by aminoacyl-tRNA synthetases). tRNAs cope with the degeneracy of the genetic code in two manners: having more than one tRNA (with a specific anti-codon) for a particular amino acid; and 'wobble' base-pairing, i.e. permitting non-standard base-pairing at the 3rd anti-codon position.
Source: RNAcentral
CGGAGCGUGGCGCAGCCGGGCAGCGCUUCUGAUUUGGUAUCAGAAGGCAGUAAGUUAAAAUCCUACCGCUAGGA